Molecule: small RNA, 29 nt
Filed under: Bombyx mori (domestic silkworm)
Lineage: Eukaryota; Metazoa; Arthropoda; Insecta; Lepidoptera; Bombycidae
Description: ovarian small RNA-27229
Source: RNAcentral
UCCCCGCACAAAGCGGGUGGAACCCGAAG